RNAcentral lists this ribosomal RNA (437 nucleotides) under uncultured bacterium. Its description in RNAcentral is "bacterial SSU rRNA". It matches the Rfam family "Bacterial small subunit ribosomal RNA", at positions 50 to 533 of the family's 1533-position model. The record is from RNAcentral.
AACACAUGCAAGUCGAGCGCACUCUUCGGAGUGAGCGGCGGACGGGUUAGUAACGCGUGGGAACAUACCCUUUUCUACGGAAUAGCCUCGGGAAACUGAGAGUAAUACCGUAUACGCCCUUCGGGGGAAAGAUUUAUCGGAGAAGGAUUGGCCCGCGUUUGAUUAGAUAGUUGGUGGGGUAAUGGCCUACCAAGUCUACGAUCAAUAGCUGGUUUGAGAGGAUGAUCAGCAACACUGGGACUGAGACACGGCCCAGACUCCUACGGGAGGCAGCAGUGGGGAAUCUUAGACAAUGGGCGCAAGCCUGAUCUAGCCAUGCCGCGUGAGUGACGAAGGCCUUAGGGUCGUAAAGCUCUUUCGCCAGAGAUGAUAAUGACAGUAUCUGGUAAAGAAACCCCGGCUAACUCCGUGCCAGCAGCCGCGGUAAUACGGAGGGG